GGCAAAGCCUUGUAUGUUCACGGACAUCCUGCUAGCAGAGCUGAAGAUAACAAAGCCAUUGAUUUUUCUCAGUGGCUUGAAUCUCUUAGGAAAAUGUAGCUGACACAGGCAAAUACCGAAUAAAUGCUGUUGACAUAACA
Molecule: long non-coding RNA, 140 nt
Filed under: Oryctolagus cuniculus (rabbit)
Lineage: Eukaryota; Metazoa; Chordata; Mammalia; Lagomorpha; Leporidae
Description: lncRNA (ENSOCUG00000033570.1)
Source: RNAcentral